UGGGGAAUCAUGGUCAAUGGGCGAAAGCCUGAACCUGCGACGCCGCGUGAGUGAUGAAGGUCGUAAGAUCGUAAAACUCUUUUCAGGGAUCUUAAAGCACAACCGUCAACAACGGCUGUGUGUGACUCUCCCUGGAAGAAGCCCCAGCCAACUACGUGCCAGCAGCCGCGGUAAUACGUAGGGUACAAGCGUUGCUCGGAAUUACUGGGCGUAAAGGGAGCGCAUGCGGUUUUGUAUGUCGUAGGUGAAAUACUCCGGCUUAACUGGAGAAACGCCUGCGAAACUGCAAGACUAGAGGACAGGAGAGGUGGACGGAAUUCCAGGUGUAGCGGUGAAAUGCGUAGAUAUCGGGAGGAACGCUGAAGGCGAAGGCAAUCCACUGGACUGUUCCUGACUCUCAUGCUCGAAAGCUAGGGGAUCACACG
RNAcentral lists this ribosomal RNA (425 nucleotides) under uncultured prokaryote. Its description in RNAcentral is "bacterial SSU rRNA". It matches the Rfam family "Bacterial small subunit ribosomal RNA", at positions 355 to 774 of the family's 1533-position model. The record is from RNAcentral.